GGGGGUGGGUGGAGAGGGUCUACGGGUGCGGGGUAGCGGUGGUGGGGGUUAGGUGUGGGGUGCUCGUACCGCGAGGCCGCGCGGCAUCCUAGGCCUAGCCCGAGCCGUGGGGACCGCGGGGUGAGGAGGAAGGAUACGGGGGCGUGGGGUUGGAAGGGGUUGAGGCGGUCGUUGGUGCUGUCGGCGGCUACGUAGCGGCUGGACGGUUCUGGGUGGUGCCGGCGGAAACUACGUGGCGGCUGGACGGUAUGGGUGGUGCCUCACGCAGGACAGGGUCUAGGCGGUGGAGGGGCGAGUUGGCCGAAGAAGGGAGACCAGUUGGCAGCACCAACGGAAGUACCUUUGGUCGCGGCGGUGGAAGUUGGUGGCGACAGUCGAUAGAAACCUAGGUCACGUAGCCGCGGGACCGGGCGGUUGGUGUCGCGGCGCAUGCGCCUAGGCGGCCUAGGGUCCGAGUAGAGGAAGGGGGUUGGAAGAGGAAGUUACCGCCAGUUGGGGGCCGUUGAUUUACCCGGGGAAGGGGUCGCCACUGCCACGUUUCGAAGAUGUCAAACACCGCACACGCCGACGUCACGUUGUCCACGUGCGAACGUCAGGCGAUCGCGCCGUCGGGCUACCUAGGUGAGGCUGGAGACGUCGCGGUACCGGGACGGAGGAGCGCCUAGGUGAGAGGGGGAGCUGACUGUCGAGAGGUUCGGUAUGACGCGGGGACGGGGCACGUUGCCACCAGUAGAAGAGCGUAGUUAGACCACCGGCGGGGCUACCUAGGGUGGCCUAGGUCGGCGGUAGCCGGGCCCCGCGCCGGUUGGGGGACGUACUGCACGGCGGUCGUUUGGAGGGCGCGCCCAGUGGGCCGUGGUCUAGGCUGGCGGUGCCCGGACUAGUACAACGUCUCCGCGCGCACAACCGAGGGAGAGGCAAAGAAGGAAAACCGCACGACGUCACGUGUCUCCGCCACGACGUCACGUGUAGGUGUGGCUACGAUGUUGGGGGUUUGGAGUCCAGGCCGCCGGGGGACACGAACGUCAAGUAAAAAACGUACAGUUAAUGACAAAAAAUGUCAAAGUCUACCUCCCAUCCUUCGUCGAGAUGGCUCGAAAGUGGCCCCUCUAUGAAGACCACUCGGCGGGUCUCGGGGAGAACGGGUACAGCGAGUCGAUCCCGUUUGACGAACGAGUUCCUACUGCUGCCUCGUCACCCCAACGUCAAGCGAAACCUUCCCAGGGGGCUACCAGACAGCGUUAUCACGUCAACCGAACGUCGCCACGCAAACGACACCGGUACGUCAAGCCCGGGGCCCGUCCACGUCAACUGAACGUGUCCGACCACCGAGUGGGGGGUACGCGUGACAAAAACACAAAAAGACAUCUAUUUAGAUUCACGUUGAGAACUCCAAAUGAAAUGACUAAAAACGUCCUUCUUGGACCACGUGAAGCCAACCUGCGGCGAAACUUAGGAAAACGUCAAAGGGACCAGGUAAAUCAAACCUACCGGCUCGGGGGAGGCACGUCAGAUAGCCGCGCAGGUACGUCAUGUCGCUCAGACACAUUAAAACACAAGACAAACACGUAACAAACACGUUACAUCGCACGUACUAGUACGUCAAACCAUGAUCAUUAAACACGCACACAUAGAAACUUCGAGUGAAACAAGAGAGUGCGUUAAACCAUAUUUUGAGGUGACAACAGGUGAACCAUUUGUGUUG
RNAcentral lists this ribosomal RNA (1705 nucleotides) under Triticum aestivum (bread wheat). RNAcentral describes it as "partial small subunit ribosomal RNA". Lineage: Eukaryota; Viridiplantae; Streptophyta; Magnoliopsida; Poales; Poaceae. The record is from RNAcentral.